ACACAAAAACCUUUUUAGUUGUCGUUUUCGUUGGAAAACAAAAACAAAAACCUGUACUCUUUCCCAGCUCUCUGUGAAAUCUGCCGCAGAAAACUCUCUCGGUUUCUGAAGAGUAAUCGGAAUCCGAUGGCGAACCUCAUGGUAGAGGACACGACUUCUGAGGACGAUCAGCUCGCCGCGAUGACGACGGAAGACAUCAUUAGAGCAACUCGUCUUCUCGACAACAAGAUCCGCGUACACAAGGAAGAAAUGUCAAGAACAAAUUUGGAGCUGGACUCGUACAAGGAGAAGAUAAAGGAGAAUCAGGAAAAGAUUAAGCUUAAUAAGCAGUUGCCCUACUUGGUGGGCAACAUCGUUGAGAUUCUGGAAAUGAACCCAGAAGAUGAGGCUGAGGAGGAUGGUGCAAAUAUUGAUCUUGACUCCCAAAGAAAGGGAAAGUGUGUUGUUUUGAAAACAUCUACUCGCCAGACAAUCUUUCUCCCAGUUGUUGGGCUUGUUGAUCCUGAUACCUUGAAGCCUGGGGAUCUUGUUGGUGUGAACAAGGAUAGUUACCUGAUCUUGGAUACUCUUCCAUCCGAGUAUGAUUCUCGAGUAAAGGCUAUGGAAGGUUGACGAAAAACCAACUGAAGACUACAAUGACAUUGGAGGGCUGGAGAAGCAGAUUCAAGAACUAGUUGAGGCGAUUGUUUUACCCAUGACCCACAGUGAGCGUUUUCAGAAGUUGGGAAUUCGCCCACCAAAGGGAGUGUUAUUGUAUGGACCUCCUGGAACCGGUAAAACUUUGAUGGCUCGGGCUUGUGCUGCUCAGACAAAUGCCACUUUUCUGAAACUGGCUGGUCCCCAACUGGUUCAGAUGUUUAUUGGAGAUGGAGCUAAACUUGUUCGCGAUGCCUUUCUGCUUGCAAAAGAGAAAUCCCCCUGCAUCAUUUUCAUAGAUGAAAUUGACGCAAUUGGCACGAAACGGUUUGAUAGUGAAGUGAGCGGGGAUAGGGAGGUGCAGCGUACAAUGCUUGAGUUGCUAAAUCAGCUUGAUGGAUUUAGUAGUGAUGACCGUAUCAAGGUGAUAGCAGCAACAAAUCGUGCUGAUAUCCUGGACCCUGCUCUGGUGCGUUCUGGUCGGUUGGAUCGUAAAAUUGAGCUUCCUCAUCCCACUGAAGAAGCAAGAGCUCGGAUUUUGCAGAUUCACUCAAGGAAGAUGAAUGUUCAUCCUGAUGUCAAUUUUGAAGAAUUGGCUCGCUCGACCGAUGACUUCAACGGAGCACAGCUAAAAGCUGUUUGUUUGUGUGGAGGCAGGCAUGCUAGCUCUUCGCCGUGACGCGACUGAGGUGAACCACGAAGACUUCAACGAGGGGAUUAUCCAAGUUCAAGCGAAGAAGAAGGCUAGCCUGAAUUAUUAUGCCUAGACCGAACGUUGGCGCGUUUUCGUUCGGAAAAACCAAACCCUCCUUUGUGUAUUCAUCGUUGUAGUGAUAUUUGAAAUCUAGUGAAAAGAUAUUUAGGUCUUGCUAGGAACCCGCUACUGGUCAGCUGCUUUCCCCAGUCGCUCCUUGUGUAACUGAAAUGUUAGUUGAUGGGGAAAUACCUCUUUCUGCAUGUCAUAUCUCUAAUUUUCAUUGCUUAUCUUUGAAUCUUUGGUGGCCUCUGUUUCCCUUCAGAUUUUGCAAGAAUAUGGUUUACCGCUUCUGUUUAA
This is a non-coding RNA of Malus domestica (apple), 1690 nucleotides long. The record is from RefSeq and is a predicted model, not a curated record. NCBI's taxonomy places the organism in Eukaryota, Viridiplantae, Streptophyta, Magnoliopsida, Rosales, Rosaceae.